Molecule: transfer RNA, 83 nt
Filed under: Schistocephalus solidus
Lineage: Eukaryota; Metazoa; Platyhelminthes; Cestoda; Diphyllobothriidea; Diphyllobothriidae
Rfam family: tRNA
About the family: Transfer RNA (tRNA) molecules are approximately 80 nucleotides in length. Their secondary structure includes four short double-helical elements and three loops (D, anti-codon, and T loops). Further hydrogen bonds mediate the characteristic L-shaped molecular structure. tRNAs have two regions of fundamental functional importance: the anti-codon, which is responsible for specific mRNA codon recognition, and the 3' end, to which the tRNAs corresponding amino acid is attached (by aminoacyl-tRNA synthetases). tRNAs cope with the degeneracy of the genetic code in two manners: having more than one tRNA (with a specific anti-codon) for a particular amino acid; and 'wobble' base-pairing, i.e. permitting non-standard base-pairing at the 3rd anti-codon position.
Source: Rfam by way of RNAcentral
GGCCUCGUAGCUCAGUUGGCUAGAGCAUUGGCUGUACUUAAGCCUCCCUCUUGCUUUUAUGGGUUCGAAUCUCACCGAGGCUG